UAGGGAAUCUUCCGCAAUGGGCGAAAGCCUGACGGAGCAACGCCGCGUGAGUGAAGAAGGAUUUCGGUUCGUAAAGCUCUGUUGUUAGGGAAGAAUGAUUGUGUAGUAACUAUACACAGUAGAGACGGUACCUAACCAGAAAGCCACGGCUAACUACGUGCCAGCAGCCGCGGUAAUACGUAGGUGGCAAGCGUUGUCCGGAAUUAUUGGGCGUAAAGCGCGCGCAGGUGGUUUAAUAAGUCUGAUGUGAAAGCCCACGGCUCAACCGUGGAGGGUCAUUGGAAACUGUUAAACUUGAGUGCAGGAGAGAAAAGUGGAAUUCCUAGUGUAGCGGUGAAAUGCGUAGAGAUUAGGAGGAACACCAGUGGCGAAGGCGGCUUUUUGGCCUGCAACUGACACUGAGGCGCGAAAGCGUGGGGAGCAAACAGGAUUAGAUACCCUGGUAGUCCACGCCGUAAACGAUGAGUGCUAAGUGUUGGUCUCAUAAGAGAUCAGUGCUGCAGCUAACGCAUUAAGCACUCCGCCUGGGGAGUACGACCGCAAGGUUG
RNAcentral lists this ribosomal RNA (548 nucleotides) under uncultured bacterium. Its description in RNAcentral is "bacterial SSU rRNA". It matches the Rfam family "Bacterial small subunit ribosomal RNA", at positions 355 to 896 of the family's 1533-position model. The record is from RNAcentral.